ACAGACAUGCGGGUUUUGUUGAGAAGGACAAAUGUAAAGAUGAGAUCUAGAUGGCAUCUGAAACAGCAUUCUCCUGAUGACUCAGUAAUGAGGUGCCCAUGCACUAGGGCUUAGAAACUGUUUUUGGUGCUCAGUCAGUGAGACUGUACUUCUAGGCUGAACCCUGCUUGUAACUUAAACCGGUUCUUGUUAGCUGCUCUGAGUCUCCAGGGCUCUUAUUAUGAAGUGAAGAUCAUUGCUUCUCACACCUGCAAGAGCAGUAGUGAAUGAAUGGCUGAGCCACCUCUCCCGCCCCAGUGCCAGCUCAUCCUGAAGGCUCCUCCGUGCACACCAGGUUGUUCCUGUCACUGUUCUGUCUCAUUGAUGAGGGAAGAAACAGAGACCUUGGUGCGGAAUGGCUACUGUUGUGUUCUCUGCUGGUGUCCGGGUAUGACGGGCUGGCUUCCUCUUCGGUGGAUCCUCUGACCAGCUAGAGCCGGAGCCGAAUGACUGGCCGGGAUUAAUACCAGGUCAUAAACAACCUCUCACUUCCCCUCCCCCUGGGCCGCCCCAAGGCCCGGCCUGCUGCCGCCGCGUGGGCCUGCGCGGUCCCGUAUCCUUCGUCAGUUCACCCUUCUCGGCCCUGCACUCUUAAUCACGACACAGAGCCCUCACCCACAGGUUGGGGGCGGCUUCCACUUCCCUUCUCCCGACCCUGUCACGGUGCACAGCCAAAAGGCCGGACGCCCUGACACACACGCCUACAGCCCGCUGCCGCCCUACGCGCGCUGACGCAGUCCCCGGCCCAACCCGCGGUGCUUCCGCGGCCUGUCCCCGCCCCUUCCCGGAGCCCGCCUCCCGGCUGCGGGCCUCGGGCCGUCCGCCUCCCCUUGCGCUGGUUCCAGCGUGCACCCGCUGCCCCGCCUCUGCGCGUGCUCAAUAACUGUCCUCUCAGUCGGCCUGCAGGCUUCCCCCGCCCCUGAGCUGUUUGAAUAUGCUAAUGAGGCUGUAAGGACCAGCCAAUAGGGCAGAGGGUCUCUGGAUCACAUGACUCGAGUACGUGUCAGGGGCGGAGCCUACGUAGCCCCUGCCCGAGUUAAAACCGGAGUGUGAGAGAGAAAAGCGCUUCAGUAGCGAGAGGGGCUGAGAAAGUGGUGACACCGCUGGGGUGCGGAGGGAGUCUCUCAAACUUCUCUCAACAGCCCCAGGGCCAAUCUCCCCUCAGCCCACUCCCCUGUUCGCCAGAUCCCUGGUCCCCACUCCCUGCACUGGGGGUGGGGUGGGGAACUGGGCCCGUCUCCCGCGGGGACACACACAGGGGCCGGGAGUGGGGACGGGACCCCCAGGCCGGGGGGGACGGACGGACAGACGGCCGCGCGGCCGCCCCAGCGGGCAGGCAGGCCGGAGGCGGGGGUACGGCCGGGUGGACCUGGGCUGGGGAGUUUCCUCUCAACUAUCGGGGGAGAAACUCCCCAUAGCCGGUGUUUUCCUCCCGGGGGCCGCGUUCCCCGCCCCGCAUAUCGGCGGUUGCCGCCGCCGCUGGUGCCUCCACCUCUGCCAUCUCUUCACCACCUCGGGCCCCGGUGUCCCCGGCCAGCACUAUGCCCAUCUUACUGUUCCUGAUAGACACGUCUGCCUCUAUGAACCAGCGCAGCCAUCUGGGCACCACCUACCUGGACACGGCCAAAGGCGCGGUAGAGACCUUCAUGAAGCUCCGUGCCCGGGACCCUGCCAGCAGAGGAGACAGGUAUAUGCUGGUCACUUUCGAAGAGCCGCCCUAUGCUAUCAAGGCUGGAUGGAAAGAAAACCAUGCAACGUUUAUGAAUGAACUGAAAAACCUUCAGGCAGAAGGACUUACGACUCUUGGCCAAUCCCUAAGGACAGCUUUUGAUUUGUUAAAUUUAAAUAGAUUAGUAACUGGCAUAGACAACUAUGGGCAGGGAAGAAACCCUUUUUUCUUGGAGCCAGCAAUAAUUAUUACAAUCACUGAUGGGAGCAAGUUGACGACUACUAGUGGUGUCCAAGAUGAGCUCCAUUUACCUCUUAAUUCACCUUUGCCUGGAAGUGAACUGACCAAGGAGCCUUUUCGCUGGGAUCAGAGACUGUUUGCUUUAGUGCUGCGGCUGCCUGGCACUGUGUCAGUAGAAUCCGAGCAGUUGACAGGUGUGCCUUUGGAUGACUCUGCUAUCACACCCAUGUGUGAAGUGACAGGAGGCCGGUCAUACUCUGUAUGUUCUCCAAGAAUGCUUAAUCAGUGUCUGGAAUCCUUGGUGCAGAAAGUACAAAGUGGGGUGGUAAUAAACUUUGAAAAGGCAGGACCAGAUCCUUCCCCUGCCGAAGAUGGACAGCCAGAUAUAUCAAGACCUUUUGGAUCUCAGCCUUGGCAUAGCUGUCACAAACUCAUAUAUGUCAGGCCAAAUCCUAAAACUGGGGUUCCUAUAGGCCAUUGGCCUGUUCCAGAGUCUUUUUGGCCGGAUCAGAAUUCUCCCACACUACCACCUCGUACAUCUCAUCCUGUAGUGAAGUUUUCCUGUACAGACUGUGAGCCAAUGGUUAUUGACAAAUUGCCUUUUGACAAAUAUGAGUUGGAACCUUCACCACUGACUCAGUUUAUUCUAGAAAGGAAAUCUCCUCAAACAUGUUGGCAGGUGUAUGUGAGCAAUAGUGCAAAGUAUAAUGAACUCGGUCAUCCCUUUGGUUACUUGAAAGCUAGUACAGCACUGACCUGUGUCAACUUAUUUGUGAUGCCUUACAAUUACCCAGUCCUCCUUCCUCUCUUAGAUGACUUGUUCAAAGUGCACAAAGCAAAACCAACACUGAAAUGGAGACAGUCAUUUGAAAGUUAUUUGAAGACAAUGCCUCCCUACUAUCUUGGGCCUCUGAAGAAAGCUGUUAGAAUGAUGGGCGCACCUAAUCUGAUAGCAGACAGUAUGGAGUAUGGACUCAGCUACAGUGUCAUUUCAUACCUCAAAAAGUUGAGUCAGCAGGCCAAAAUAGAAUCUGAUAGAGUCAUCGGAUCCGUAGGCAAAAAAGUAGUGCAGGAAACUGGAAUUAAAGUCCGAAGCCGGUCACAUGGGUUGUCAAUGGCGCAUAGGAAAGGUUUUCAAGUGCUGCAGGGUAUUUCGGAGGAUGUUCCCCACAGGUUGCUAGACCUUAAUAUGAAGGAGUACACUGGGUUCCAGGUUGCUUUACUAAAUAAGGAUUUAAAGCCUCAGACCUUUAGAAAUGCUUAUGAUAUACCAAGACGGAAUCUUCUGGAUCAUUUAACAAGAAUGAGGUCUAACCUUUUAAAGAGCACCCGCAAAUUUCUUAAAGGCCAGGAUGAAGAUCAAGUGCACAGUGUACCUAUAGCACAAAUGGGGAAUUACCAGGAAUACCUCAAGCAAGUACCUUCUCCAUUGAGAGAGCUUGAUCCUGAUCAGCCUCGAAGGUUGCAUACGUUUGGCAAUCCCUUUAAACUGGAUAAAAAGGGUAUGAUGAUAGAUGAAGCAGAUGAGUUUGUGGCUGGACCUCAGAAUAAACACAAGCGGCCUGGAGAGCCAAGCAUGCAAGGGAUCCCGAAAAGGCGCCGGUGUGCCUCUCCACUCUUGAGAGGCCGAAGGCAGAGCCCUGCUGUGAACAGUCACAUCGGAGGGAAAGGACCACCUGCACCCAUGACGCAAGCACAGCCAGGUCUUAUUAAACCCCUUCCUCUGCAUAAAGAAGCCACUAAUGAUUCAGUAGUAGACGAUGUGGUUGAAAAUCAUGUUGCCGACCAACUUUCAUCAGACAUGACAACAAAUGCUAUGGAUACUGAAUUUUUAACCUCUCCAGCCAAUCUUUUGGAACCAUCAACUAAUCAUACAGAGGCCCUUGGUCAUGAACAUUUAGGAAACAAUGACCUCACUGUUGGUGGAUUUUUAGAAAAUCAUGAGGAGUCAAGAAGUAAAGAACAAAGUGCUGAAGAGAAUAUACCAGCAUCUUCACUCAACAAAGGAAAGAAAUUGAUGCAUUGUAGAAGCCAUGAAGAGGUCAACACUGAACUAAAAGCACAAAUAAUGAAAGAGAUCCGAAAACCAGGAAGAAAAUAUGAAAGAAUCUUCACUUUACUGAAGCAUGUGCAAGGCAGUUUACAAACAAGGCUAAUAUUUUUACAAAAUGUCAUUAAGGAAGCAUCCAGAUUUAAGAAGCGAAUGCUGAUAGAGCAACUGGAGAACUUCUUGGAUGAAAUUCAUCGGAGAGCCAAUCAGAUCAACCAUAUUAAUAGCAACUAAAGAAAAUAGAACGCGGCCACUUAUUUCAUUAUCUUCUCCAAAUACAAAAUUUGGCGUCCUUUCGCUGGACUGUGAACAGGAAGCCCUUGAUUUCCUCAGUUUUCCGAGGCAUGGUGACAGCAUUGGACUUGGACAACUGCACCCAAAACACUCACAGAGGAGAGAAACGAAGAGAGGAGACAGGGGAGCUAUAUCCCAUAUUUUUAAAAGAAAGCGAGGAAAUAUCCUUGGGAAACUUGUGCUUCAUGAUAACCAUCAGCCUCUUCAAGGAGGAGCAAGACUCACUUUGGGUGUGUGGGUUACGUAGUUGGAACAUUACUUGAGUGUUUCUGCAAAGGUUCUUGUGCUGGAAGCUUGGCUCUCUGGCUCAGAUGUACUGUCUUCUGGGGAGCCUCUGACCUGCUUGGUGGAAUCACAGAACCACGCAGCACCCACCCCCUCAUCUACAUGUGUGGCUCCCCCAGACAGAGUUGCCGCCUUCAGAGUUCUCCUCUUGUGCAUAAGACAAGUUCCUGACCAGCCAUGGUCUAUAUUGCAAGAGCACCACAAAGGAGCCUGUGGACGUGUACGCUGCUGUGGUAUAAGUGCUGAGAAUGACCAAGUUCUAAAAACUAUCUUUGGUUUCAGUUGUCCCUGCAGAGAACAAACCUAUCUGUUGUCCAUCAGGAUUGUAAGACCUGUUUCAACAGUGGUCAGAGUAUGCAUUGAGGAGGAUGGGCAGUUCAGGGGGCACUUGGUGCCAGACAUGUUGAGUGCUAACCUUGACUUGCUAGCUCAAGUGUCCAGAGGAAGUCAUAGCCAGGCUGAGUUGGCAUUAUUUCAUGUACCUUCUGACAAAUCUUAGUUCAUCCAAAGCCUACUCUCGUCAGUUUUAGUGAUGCUCAUUGUUUUGUUUUGAGAUGGGGUUCCUGCUACAUAACAGACUGCCUUGGAACUAAGAAAUCUUGCCUCACUCACCAACACUAAAUUUUAUAUUUACAUCUUAGUCCUUGAUUGAGAAGGGAAGGCCAUGUUUGCCUUAGCUGCAUCACGAGUGCAGGUUAAUGCUGCCUGAGCUGUGUUCUAAAGACUCUGCUGUUAGCAGAGCUGUUUUGAGAAAUACAAUAUGUAGAUAUAAGCUGGCAGAAACCUAAGAAUCAUGAAAAUAGGUUGGUCAAAAGCAUAGUCCUGGGUCGAAAGAGUUUACAUUUAAGCACAGCCCCUUAUUGAUUAUGUGAUUCCCAGCAAGUUGUCUCCACCCUCUGCCUAUCUGCUUCCCCAAAUAGGGGUGCCAAUGAAAUCAUCAACCUCAAAAGGGUUGUUGAGGCAAUCAGUGAAUGUUUAGAAGGUGUUUCCCACCCCUCCCAGCCACAGCAAGCAUUCUAAAAGGGGCAGUGACUCAAAACCAUCACACUGCCAUGAGGCUAGAAGGGAGUCCCCUCAAUCAAGAACAGCGCUGGUAAAAAUCUGAGUGCUUCAUGCAUGGCCCUGUCUCUUCCCCUGUGCACACUGGGAUCUUAGCUCCCCACUGAGAGCACCUGAGCAGGGUGGAACAGGGAGCAGGGCUGAGAGGAAGUGAGAGGGGAAGCCUCUUACCUUGCACAGUAUAUCCUAGGGCCUCUGCCAGCUGCCAGCCAGUGUUGCCCCUGGCUGCAAACUGCAGGAUCUCCAGGGAGAGGGAUACACUGGCUGGUGAGAUGACAAAGUUUGUCCCAUUUGUCUCUGCUGCUGCACUCUGGUAGAGGUGGAGGGCAAACUCAGUCUUCAGCAGCCACAGGCCUUCACUGAGGGGGCUGCCUCCUCCUGCUGAAAAGCAGGAGGAGAGAAGGAAGAGGGUGACCUGCAGGAGAGGCAGCAUGGUAGCCAGACACCUGCAGUUCAAAGGGAGGAGAAGCUGGUGACAUGGACGAGAGCAAGUCACCUGAGAACUGGGGCACCCAGCUCUGUUUUCAGAGCCCAAAGGACAGUCUUGCUACACUUCCUUGCUUACCCACCAUGAUCCUACCUCUCUAGGCUGCUUGGCUGGGCUGGGAUCCUUUUGAAAACUCAACCCCGUGCUGGAAGAUCUGCUCCUGUUACUGCAUGUGUGGCCUUGGAAAAGUCCUGGUUAUAGCAAAACAAAUCAUUAUGUUAGGAAAAGAAAUGCGAAAAGUGCAUCCUGUGGUUUCUUAGUACUUAGCCUGCUUACAGCUGGGCCAUGCUUCUCAUGAGUAAUUAUAGUACUAAUCAUGCUCAAAGUUCAUUUCUUUAUGCUAAAAAGAUUGUAUAUUCUUGGUUGAAAUUCCCAUAACCAUACUAGAUAUUGUAACUAUAGUCAUGGGGGCUGUGCUCUAGAGAGCUCAGUGACUCAUUGGUAUGGGAAGAGAACAGAGCUGUGACAGAUACCUGGCCUUUAAGAGUGUUACAUGAAAUAUCAAGACCGUAUAUGUAUGUUCAAAGAGUGAUGCAUGGGAUAACUGGGCCUAGAAUAGUAGACUCCAUGCUACGUAGUAGAUUAUUCCACAUAGAGUAGAACAAUAAUAAUAGAAAGUCCCUCCUCAGAACUGUGCCCUCCCAGGACGAGGGGCUACCACGAGUAAGAAAGGAAUGCCAGAAGGGAGCAAGAAGAGCAGAGCAGAGCACUUUUGUUGGCUGUGCCGACAGAGAGACGGUAGCAAUCUUUGCUAAGUGCUCCAACUGUGGAGCCAGGCUAGGUUGAUGGGAGAGGAAUGCCCAGUCAAAGCACCUCUUAUAUAAGUUUAUAAGCAAGGCCAUGGGCUCAGUGAUAUUCACUUUAAAUAAAGAUCCAAGAGAAAAAGCCAUGUUUCCCAGCUCUUCCCUUCAGGGCUGAACACAAAUGUACAUGACCUAGGAACCCAUGACGAGGGAAUUUGCAUGGGUAUGUAUGUCUAGAAAGAAAGUAGGCUUCAGUAUCAGAUCAUUAGUGAAAGCUUCAAGUCCUACUCUGAGAGCUCGUGCAGUUUCUGCCAGCUCCCAAGACAUGAACACUAGCAACCCUUAGCAAACAAACUCUGAUGCCCGGACUUCUGGUGACCCAGGUCCUGCCAUGACGACCAGGGAUGAGUUCUAUACUCACCGACUCGUUAAUCAAAUGGUAGUUUCCUUGUUUGAUUCUGUCCUUGUGCCUUGAGCAUCAACAUGCUGCCCUUUUUAAAAGAGUGGAGCAGAAUGUGCUCUGAAUCACAAGACAUCUCAGGGAGGAAGCUGGCAAUUGCCGUCUCUGCCGGCGAUGUCUCUACCACUCUGUCCAAAUUCCUGGAGCGUCGAAGUUCUGCAGGGAGCGAGGGGAAGCGACUCAGCUCCAGGCAGCAAAGCUGAGAUGAGAGCAGAGUACGCCUUCUAAGGCUUGUGACCUGGUUGUACCAGCAAGGAACCCUCCAUCUAACCCUUUAUGACUUUGAAGAAUUCCGAGAUAACUCUGGGUUUUGCUGGGUGCCAGGUACCUAAUGCCUCUCCCCUCCUCCUGGAAACAAAACAAUAGAUCAGUCUUUGAGCAUGACCUCAAACUUUCAGCAAGUUCAAUGCUGAAAAAGAAAAAGCAAGCAGUGAAAAGUCUGGUUCAAUCAGGUUAGAGCAAGACAGCUGGCUUUACCUGUUGUUAACAAAAGCAGGUAGGUGUACCUGCUGUGUAAUGUGAGCCCUAGAUUGGUCCUGAGAUUCAGUGCAACAAGUCCACCAUAAUAAUUGAAGAGAGAUCCCAUAGGGGUCCCUUUAACUUGACAAGUACUCACAGCCCUAUAAUCAAUCAGUGGGCAAGUCACUUUAAAGUUUAAUCAUAGAUAUUUAAUCCAGGAGUCUUAGGGGAGUUACAGUUUGGUAGCUGUUUCAUGUGAAAUCUCUCCAAACCUUGAAUUUUGAUGUAAAUUUACCAUUGUGUGUCUUGGACUCUAAGCCACAGUAUGGCAGGGGAAAGAAAUGUAUUUAAUUCCCAUUAAAGUACCCAGAGAGAGCAUUCCAUCCAUGCAUCUCAGAACUAGCUCCUGAUUGCCCGCUGGGUUCCAAGGCUCUGGACCAGUUGGGGGAAAUGUAGCACUGAAUCAGCAACCUGGGCUUCACUCUCACUGGACUCUUUCUCUGUGAGUGUGGACUUUAGAUGUUCAUACUGACAGUGCUAAACAGAAAGCUGCAGGAACUCCACGGGCUUCCUUGUGACACUUCAAGGUUCCUAAGGGUGGACUUACUUUAGCAAAGGUUGAUUAAGUAAUUGCCAAUAGUAGGAUGGAGAUAUGCCUGAAAAACAACGUCUGAAAUUGGGCAGUGUGGCUGUGUCACUUCCGUGAACAUGAUUUCCUAACUUUAUGAAUGUACAAUUCUAAACUGCUUUUGAAAGCAUUCUCAUGAAACAAUACCAGGGAAACUUAAAAUGCUAGAGUUAUUUCCCACAUGGAUUAAAUAUUUCAAUGUGUGGAUGAAUAAAAUAUGAAUAGCAACUGGUGUUGCUUUGGAGUGCUCGGCAGAAGCCAUCAUUGGUCUCCGACCAGUUAUAGAGAUUGCGUGGUGGCUUCCAUCUUGCCAGGAUGAAUAUUGGUUAUUUAUAUGGAUAUUGGUUAUUCAGAGCCAUAAUAACAAGCAAAGCAAAUGUUAUUGAAUAUAUCCGCUGUGUUUUACGAACUGUUACUUUCCACUCACAGCUGCAUAUUAUGUGACUUCCCAGGAGCUCACAUAUUAUCCCCAUUUCACAGAGGGAGAAACUAAGACAGAAGAACUCAAGAGUCUUGAGGCUUGAACCUAUAGCCCCCUGUUUUCACUCUCAGGCUUACGUUAUUUCCCAUAGUCUCAGUGGUGUCUGUUAAGGGGCCAAGACAUUGGGUCUUUUGAAUUCCCACGGGAUUCUAAGGCUUUUGAUAGUCUAUCCAGACUCUAUGGACUGGUGACAUGCUUCUAGACUGCUUUCAUUUCUCAGGGAUGCUCUGGUAAAGCACCUCUAGACGGACAAAGUGCAGCACUAUUAGAUUAUGAUGCUUCUCUUCAUUCCUUCUGGUCACCCUACCGAUACCUCCUUCAGACCCCACUCUCUCCCUUUGGGACUCACUCACUCUGAGCCUAUUCCCAACUUGGUACUUUCUAGCAAGCACAUGUAGUUGGAAGACACAAGCCAUUUCCACCUCUGGGUUCACCAGAGCCCUUGCCAACUGCCUGAAUGGGACCCUCUUACUGUCCUAUCCCAUCUUGAAAUCCAGAAUCAGUCCACACUAUCUCAGGGGAAACUUGGUCCAAGUUCCUUGAUCAGGCCACUGAAGGCAUCAAAUUGUAGUUGACAAGCAGAAGACCUGAAGAGAGUUGUAUUUAUACUCCAAAUACAAAUAAAUAAAACAAAACAAAACCAGAAGAAUCAACAUUCCCAACCCCUGUAUGAGUUAGCCUCCUGAACAGUGUAGUCAUUCCUGGUGAAACAAGAAGGUAAUUUGAAGGAAGAAAGGAAGGAAGGAAGGAAGGAAGGAAGGAAGGAAGGAAGGAAGACUCAACCAAUAAACUAACUUCAGAUGUUCAAAUCCCAACACAGAAAUAAAUCAAUAUGAAGCCCCAAAAGUAAUGACCCCCAUUGAAGAUGACCUGGAAGAACUCUAAGAUAAAAUUAAAAAUAACAAUUAAAAACUAUGGUCAAACACUCAAAGACAAAAAACCAAGUGAGGAAUGAAACAAGAUGUCCAAUCUGAGACAUGAAAACAGUUUGAAUUUUAAGAAAACUCAAACCGAAAUGAUUCUGAAAAUGAGAAACUCAAUAAGCCAAUUAAAAAUCUCCAAGAUAAGCCUCAACGAUGGAACGACCAUGUAGAAAAGAGAGUUGGGGAGAGAAACUGAGCAGAGGAGUCAGAUAGUUCAGUAAUGGCCAAUGAGAUAGAAGUAUGAGUAGAACAUGGAAAGGUUUGGGGUCCCAUGAAAAGACAAAAGCUUUGAAUUAUGCUCAUGAAGCAGGAAAGGAAACCGUGGUGGAGCCAGGAAAUAUCUUCAGGAAUAUCGUAGAAGAAAAAUUUCCAAAACUGGAAAGAGAAAUGCCAUUCAUCUUCAGAAGAAACACAUUCAUUUAGAAUGUGGAACAAACAAGGCCAAAAGGGAAUUCUCCAGGAUGCAUUACAACUAAAACAUUAAAAA
Non-coding RNA from Rattus norvegicus (Norway rat), 10304 nucleotides. Lineage: Eukaryota; Metazoa; Chordata; Mammalia; Rodentia; Muridae. The record is from RefSeq and is a predicted model, not a curated record.